Molecule: long non-coding RNA, 623 nt
Filed under: Rattus norvegicus (Norway rat)
Lineage: Eukaryota; Metazoa; Chordata; Mammalia; Rodentia; Muridae
Description: long non-coding RNA NONRATT011094
Source: RNAcentral
UUUAUACUCCUGUUAGACUUAAGUAACUGUAAUGACCGUUCUGCCUUUUUUUUCUGACUCUUCUGCUACAUGUGACUGGUAGAUGUCUUCUUUCCAUCUGAAUCCUAUUUGCCACAGUGUACAUUUUCUCCAUAGAUGCUGUCUUGGAUCCAGAAAACCCCAUCAGGGUUGGCAAACAUCUCUUAUUCGCAUGCACUGGUCUCCUCUGCGUCCUGGUUGUAGACUAUAACGUGCAUGAGCUAAGGUUUUUACUUCUGUUCUCCCUUCCCCAGGAAUCAAAAAGGUCAGAAUCCCUCAUGGACAUUCAUCAUAAGAGGUUAAAGACUAAGGCUGCUGAAGAUAAGAACAGGCACCAGGAGAGAACCCCUUUCGAUCGUGAUAAAGAUCUCAAGGUUAACCGGUUUGAUGAGGCACAGAAAAAAGCCCUUAUAAAGAAAUCCAGAGAACUGAACACCCGGUUUUCACAUGGCAAAGGCAACAUGUUUUUAUAAGUAAGUGUACUUCAGUGAGGUACACGCAUACUGAUCAGCCUGAAGCCCUCAGAAUAUGCCUUUGUCCAUAGUAAUUAUGUGCACAAAUACAUUUCCUUUUGUAUAAAGUAGAUUCAGGGUCUACAUUUUUAU